CAAUGCGUUGUUCGGAAUCACUGGGCGUAAAGCGUGCGUAGGCUGUUUCGUAAGUCGUGUGUGAAAGGCGCGGGCUCAACCCGCGGACGGCACAUGAUACUGCGAGACUAGAGUAAUGGAGGGGGAACCGGAAUUCUCGGUGUAGCAGUGAAAUGCGUAGAUAUCGAGAGGAACACUCGUGGCGAAGGCGGGUUCCUGGACAUUAACUGACGCUGAGGCACGAAGGCCAGGGGAGCGAAAGGGAUUAGAUACCCCUGUAGUCCUGGCAGUAAACGGUGCACGCUUGUGUGCGGGGAAUCGACCCCCUGCGUGCCGGAGCUAACGCGUUAAGCGUGCCGCCUGGGGAGUACGGUCGCAAGAUUAAAACUCAAAGAAAUUGACGGGGACCCGCACAAGCGGUGGAGUAUGUGGCUUAAUUCGAUGCAACGCGAAGAACCUUACCUGGGCUUGACAUGUAAUGAACAACAUGUGAAAGCAUGCGACUCUUCGGAGGCGUUACACAGGUGCUGCAUGGCCGUCGUCAGCUCGUGUCGUGAGAUGUUUGGUUAAGUCCAGCAACGAGCGCAACCCCUGUUGCCAGUUACCAGCACGUGAAGGUGGGGACUCUGGCGAGACUGCCCAGAUCAACUGGGAGGAAGGUGGGGACGACGUCAGGUCAGUAUGGCCCUUAUGCCCAGGGCUGCACACGUACUACAAUGCCCAGUACAGAGGGGGCCGAAGCCGCGAGGCGGAGGAAAUCCUAAAAACUGGGCCCAGUUCGGACUGUAGGCUGCAACCCGCCUACACGAAGCCGGAAUCGCUAGUAAUGGCGCAUCAGCUACGGCGCCGUGAAUACGUUCCCGGGUCUUGUACACACCGCCCGUCACAUCAUGGAAGCCGGUCGCACCCGAAGUAUCUGAAGCCAACCGCAAGGAGGCAGGGUCCUAAGGUGA
This 932-nucleotide ribosomal RNA is filed under the name uncultured Verrucomicrobiota bacterium. RNAcentral describes it as "bacterial SSU rRNA". It matches the Rfam family "Bacterial small subunit ribosomal RNA", at positions 534 to 1465 of the family's 1533-position model. The record is from RNAcentral. Lineage: Bacteria; Pseudomonadati; Verrucomicrobiota.